Molecule: transfer RNA, 82 nt
Filed under: Mariprofundus ferrooxydans PV-1
Lineage: Bacteria; Pseudomonadati; Pseudomonadota; Candidatius Mariprofundia; Mariprofundales; Mariprofundaceae
Also listed under: 2 other names
Rfam family: tRNA
About the family: Transfer RNA (tRNA) molecules are approximately 80 nucleotides in length.
Source: Rfam by way of RNAcentral
GGAGAGGUUCCCGAGUGGCUAAAGGGGGCAGACUGUAAAUCUGCUGGCUCAGCCUACGUUGGUUCGAAUCCAGCCCUCUCCA